AGCACGACACAUAAUGUUAUAUAAACGCUUUCAUCACACCUUUAAAUGUCAACAAAUCUUUUAAAUACUAUUUAAUUUCAAAUGCAAAGACAGUGGCGUAGUAUUAUUAAAUGAGAUUGUACAUUUUAGCCUGAGGAGUGCAUAACUAAUUUUUGAUUCGUUUUAUCAAGCACUAGUAACGUUUAAAGAUGAGUAUGAGGUUUUGUUUUCAAAUUUGUGUUUUUUCCUUUAUUUUCUGCCACUAUGUUGACGCUCAAUUCCUUGCGGGAAACUCAGGGUGGCCGCCAAGUGGAAAUGUUAUACCCCGUGUGACCGCACCAGCACGUAAGUAGAAAAUAAAAAUAACUAAUGACUUUAUUCUAUUGAACUAGUAUGUAUAUUUGUUUAGGGGCCAGCUGAAGGACACCUCCGGGUGCGGGAAUUUCUCGCUGCAUUGAAGACCUGUUGGUGACCUUCUGAUGUUGUCUGCUAUAUGGUCGGGUUGUUGUCUCUUUGACACAUUACCCAUUUCUAUUCUCAAUUUUAUUAACAUUAAAUUCAUUCUGAAUACAUAGUAUAUGACAUGAUAUAGUCGCUUGCACAUUAUGUUUGUCAUUCAAAAUGGCUUCUCAAAUCUAAGGUGUCAAAUAAGGCAGAUUACGGUAACCGUAAUGAUAUUCAAUUGAGAAAUUCUGGUUUUAUUGCGUUAAAUUCAUUCUGAAUACAUGUUAUAUGACAUGAUAUAGGUGCGUGCACAUUAUGUUAAUCAGUCAAAAUGGCUGCUCAAACCGAAGGGCUCAAAAUGACCUCUAAUUAGUAAAUACUUGUAGGAUCAUGUUCGGUCAAUAGUCACUGAAGCGUUCGUGGCACAAAGUUAAUGCAUACAUGUAUACGCAACUGUUUCAUAUUAAUACACAAUGACAAAAAAAAUCAAAAAAUCUGAAUGUAGCAAAAAUAUACAAAAUGGUCACCAUGUACAAUGCUUUGAUAUGUUUACUGUUUGAUAUUUUGGUGUAAAAUUUCAUCUUCCACACGCUUGACUUUAUUAUGUAUAUGUUGACGAUCUUGGAGUGUCUUUAAAAGUACCCACUGUAGGUAGGACAAAACUGACAAAUUAAGAUCGUAGUCGAUAUUACCCUGCCACAAUCGGUGCUUCUAACUAUUAUCACUAAGGUUGAAAGUCAGGUGAUCACUAAGGAUCAAGUACUUAGACCGCUUGGCUACUGUGGUAUUCUGUAAGUCGAGGAAGCAAAGUCAUUAUCCGGACCCAAAAAUAGGCAUACCAGCAACAAAAACCAGUACACAUGAUUUUUAACAAACCUUUCUGAAACUGUCUGUAUAUAAAUUAUAAAGAAACUAAAAGUUUCAACUCCCUGAGGCACGGUUUGCCAUCGAUACAUUUGCUAUUACUUUUAUGUCAUGUUUGUCAUUACAGCUUGUAAAAUGUUUCGAUUCUAAUACAUCAUUGGCUUUUAGAUAUUCGGCCUUGAGUGUUCCCAAUUAAUGAAUGUUAUAUCUGUAAAAUGCUUCAGAUACAUGAAAUUAAUAAACAAUAUUAAGCAAUUCUGGUUAAACUAGCUUUCCUUAUUCAAAGCUAUGAUGCAUAGCCCGCCUUCAGCUAUAUCUUUUGUCCUCCUUGUUAUAAUCAACUCUUCAAUUCCUGAUUUAUUUUCGGAUUUUUAAUGUGGCCUUGAGCACCACUACUGACGAAAUGCGCAUUUGGAGUGUAAAUGGUGCCGUUUAUGUUAUUACUACCACUAGGGUCAUAACUUUUCUGAUGGACCGCUACCAGAGAUUAUCACCAGCCCAGUACUGAAACGACAGCAAACGCAAAACCAAGAUUGUUUUUACCGACAAAUGACAUAAAAAAUUAAAAACAUAUAAUUUUGAAAUUCAUCAAAUUAUCUCAUUACUCUUAACCACUGUUAAUGCUCCUUACCCCGCCCUGAUUUUUCUUACUUGUCUUGAAUAUUGUAUUCGUCAGUUGUGAAUGACAAGGGACAUAAUAAGUUAUUUAUCGUAAUUCGCUGAAUGUCUAAUAACAACAUUUUAUUUCACCAAUGUAUUAUACAAUGUCAUUAACUAUCUUUGAUUAAGUUAUGAUGUAAUGUUAUUCACAGUUUAAUAAGAGUGUAGUGUGUGAAUCUACUACACUUUUGUAUGAUAUUACAAAAAUAAUGACUUUAGUGGUGUAAUAAAUAACGAAGAAAAAAAAAGUAAAAUUGAGAAUGGAAAUGGGAAAAAUGCCAAAGAGACAAUAAUCCGACCAAAGAUCACCCAACAGCCGAAGUCCAACGGGUCUUCAAUGUAGCGAGAAACUCCCACACCCGGAGUAGGGCUUUAACUGGCCCCUAAACAAAAAUAUAUACUAGUUAAGUGAUAAUGGACGUCAUACUUAACUCCCAAAUAUACACAAGAAACUAAAAUAAAAAUCAUACAAGACUAACUGAUCAGAGGCUCCUGACUUGGGUCAGGUGCAAAAAUACAGCGGUUGUUUUUUGAGAUCUCAACCCUCUCUUAUACCUCUAGCCGAUGUAGAAAAAAACACACACAACAAUACGCACAAUUAAACUCAGUUAAAGGGAAGUCCGAUUCCGAUGUCAGACUAGGUAACAAAAGAAACUCCUUUGGCUCAAAAUGUAUAUUUUCAAUUCAUAACAAAAACAAAGGAUAUGGGGUCACUAUCAAUGAGACAAAAUCUGUACAUCUGUAUAAAAAGCAAAAACAAAAAGCAUAGGAAAAGCGCUUUUAUUGCUGUUCUUCAUCUUAAAGUUGGGAAUGAAACUAUGAAAGGCUGAUACAUAUAAUCAGUGGAGUAAAGUAAAAUAAACUGUUUCGCAUAUGAUAUAACACAAUGUUCAAAAUGGAAUAUAUACGAGAAAAAUUUAAAAUAAACAUUAGUAAACAUAAUCUAUAUACAUGGUGUCAGUUUUUUUUAAAAUUGUCACCAAUUACAAAAGAUUUACUACUCGCUCGUUCAGCUCAGUUUCAAUACAACAAAUUUAUUUUCCUUUUAAGCUCGAUGCAGUGCAAUCAAAAGUAUCAACUGUGAAAAAUAUGGUUUCAAUGUCACAAUGUUCCCGACUUUUCUUGGGCAUCUAAAUGUAGAAGCUGCUGAUGCCCUGCUGACUCACACAUUUAAAAAUACUAUUGUAUGUCCAAUUCCAAGACAAUCUGCCGAAUUGAUAGGAUGUGCCAUUAUUCUUCCGCUUUGUGAAAUGGGUAAAAAAGUGCCCCCAUGCCAGGAGGAUUGCACAGGUAAAAACAUAAAGUAUUAUAAGUAUUUUGUAUGUUCAAUAUUUUUGAUGAUAUUCUUUGAUAAUACUAUUGAGGAUCUAGUUAAUAAAGUACUACAACAUUUUUAGUUUGAUCUUUAGUCUCCGUCGUUUAUAUAGGCUUUGGUUUUUCAAAUACGGCCUUGAAAAUCACUGAAGAUACAUCUUCAAUGGUCGUACUGGAAAGCAAAGAACUAGUGUUUACAAACAAAACAAAAACGUUGUUACAUUUUCUCAAAAGCCAACUAAAAUUAUUGCAAUGGUUAAAUAACCGUAUCUAAUUAUUAGCUUGUCAGCCAAGCAUAACUGACAUAAGAUUGAAUACAAGUAAAAAGUAUAACACAAUUUAUAAAAAUUACAGUCAAUGUUUGCCAGACGUAGUCAUAUCUAGUUUCUAGAUGUAAAUAAAAUUUGUUGAUUUUCAAAAUGCCGAUUAAUGAAUUUUACACGAAAAUUUGAUCAUAUUGACCUUUGAUCCAUGAAUUAUAAACAGAUUCUAAAACUGCAUUUAGUGUGAUACGAUAUUUAUCCACUCGAAACAGUUAACGUUUCAAAUUUAAAACGCGAGGCUCGCUGAACGUUUUGAAUAUCUAAAAUGUAACUGUUGAGAGUGGACAAAUAUCGUAUGACACGAGAUUUGGUGGUUGAAUCUGUUUCUCUAAUGCUUUUAUAACAAUAUGCAGGCAAACUUAUUCUUUUUUUCGAAUGAUCUGCAAAAAGAUGUGUUCUUUCUAAGUGACGUUAUCAGGUAUGGUCGCCUUUUCAUGCCGUCACAAUAGGAAAUUCAGAGGAAAGCAAGAAGAUUCGACGUCAUCAUCGGAUUUUAACCAAUGAAGAACUGAGAUCAAAUGAACCAUACGUUGAUUACAUUUUGUUAAACAACGGAUGCAGAAAGGGAUAAAUUGACGAAGAAUUAGAGAAAUGGAUAUAUAUCGACGAUGAAUAUGAAUCAAUCAUUUAUCAAAAACGACAAAAGCACACUUCGCUAUAUGUAUACAUUCUUCAAUAUUGAAAUUAACAUGUUAAGCAUACAAUUCAAUAAAAUAUUGUUUAAUAUCAAAUCUUUGUAAAUACUAUGUUGAAAUACAUUCAAAGUUUAUAUUAAUAGUUCAAAACUCGUAAAUCUCAAAGCGUUUUUACAGCAAGUAGAAUAUUUUGUGAUUGUUCAUUUAUUGGUUAGACAAUUUCUCACUUCUUAAGGAUUAUUUACCCUUUUGUUGAUUCACUGCUAAACAUAUGGAAAUUUUAUACAAAAAUCCACAGCCUUUAUCCUUGUAUUCAAAUAUUUGGCAAUCUGUUGGCUGAUAGAUAUAAGAUUAUUGCAUGCAGUGCUAGCAUCGAUUUACUUAAAAAAACAAGUUUAUUAAUGUAGUUAUUGGUUAAAACGAAAAAAAGUAUGGACCAAACCAAGUACACCUUUUAAGGUGCACUCGACUUAAGUGACUCAGUACGAGGUAUUUUGGAAUUUACAGGUUGAUUAGAACUUUUUGUAAAAAAUGAACACUUGCACAUCAUAGAAAAGCAAGUGAGUAAUCUAUGUUUCAAAUUUUAUAACACAAAUAUCUGUAUUAAAGGCUGUGUUUUUUCUAUAAAAAUCUUGGUUUAUUUGCCACAAAGUACUCUUUUUCUAUUGAAAGGAAACAGUAAAUAAUAAUACUUUGCAUCAAGUACCCCCUUGGUAUAUGUACAAAAUGGCCUAUCUCUAUUGUAGUUUUGAUACAAUUGUAGUUUGAAAAAUUCGUACAAAAAUGGCUACAGAAGGGGUCAUAAACCAUAAUGAUACAUUCAUGGCAAAUUUUAACUCAUCAAAAUGUAAAACAAAAAAAAACAUAAAAGUGUUCACAAAUGCAAAUAAUCUUCCAAAAACAGAAAUUCUAUUUUAUAAUUCGAAAACGAAACGCACACCUGACAUAUAAAAUAUCAAUACUGGUAUCUAUGAGUUAAUUUAAGAUUUUGGAUCACCAGGCUGAGCCCAAUAGUCAGAACUUAGUCGGAAGUACUUUUAUCAUUGAUAUGGUCAUAAUUAUAAAUAAACUGUUAACAAAACUUUGAAUAUUUUCAUAUACUCAGGAUUAUCUACACAAAGAAUAACUAACCUCAGCUGUAGUUGAAAUACCAUUCGGAAUUAUGUUUUUUCCUUUUUAUAUAACUUUUUAUGGCCCCGCAACGAAGUUGUCGGUGCCACAUAUUUUUACCCUUGUCCGAAAUUUCCGUAAUUCUGUAAUUCUGUAAUUCCGUAAUUCCGUAAUUCCGUAAUUCCGUCAUUCCGCCAAUAACCCAUUAUACGGAGUUUUUUUCUUAACGCCUUCAGAUAAUGAGCUGAUUUUUGGUAUGUGAGUUAACCAUGAUUAGUUACAGAUCAAGUUCACGUUUCGCUCCUCUCUGGUAAUUUUUGCGAAAUUACGGGCUUUGCACUUUGAUAAAUUGUUGAAAAUCACAGUUAUACGGACUUUUUUUUCUAAACGCUUUCAGAUAUUGGGAUGAUUUUUGGCAUGUGAGUUAAUCAAUAUGAGUUACAGAUCAAAUUUAAGUUUUGUUCUGCUCGGCUAAUUUUUGCCGAAAUUACGGGCUUUGGACUUUGAUAAAUUGUUGAAAAUCACAGUUAUACGGACUUUUUUUCUAAAGGCUUUCAGAUAUUAGGCUGAUUUUUGGUAUUUGAGUUACUAUGAUGAGUUACAGAUCCAGUUUAAGUUUCGUUCCGCUCGACUAUUUUUUUCGGGCUUUGAACUUUAAUAAUUUUUAAAAAAUCACAGUUAUACGGACCUUUUUUCUAAAUGCUUUCAAAUAUUUGGCUGAUUUUUGGUUUGUGAGCUAACCAUGAUGAGUUACAGAUCAAGUUCAAGUUUCAUUCCCUUCUGCUAAUUUUUGCAAAAAUUUAAGGGUUUACAAAUAUGAAAAUUGUUGAAAAUCACAGUUAUACGCACUUUUUUUCUAUACGCCUCCAUAUUUUGAGCUGAUUUUUAAUAUUUGAGACUACCAUCAUGUUUCUGUCCACAUGUGUUAUUGAAAUUGCAGAUUUUUCAACUUUUUGAGACGGGCCAUUCGUGUCGCUGUGACCCAUCUAGUUUGAUUCUGCGACACUGAUGAAUGUGUUUUUUUUUUGUAGACAAAACACAUAUCUGGCGUACAAAACAUAUAUCUGGUAUCUAUGAUGGAUUUGUUUACUAGUUUUUGUAAUGAGUUUGGUAUACUAUUUCAGUACCGUUUGAGCUUUUGAUUUUGCCAUUUAAUUAGGGACUGUCCAUUUGAAUUUUCCUCGGAAUUCAUUUUUUUUUGUGAUUUUACUUUUCAUUUUUAUUCCCUUUGCAGAUGUUAUCACGCAAUGCAGAGUUAAUCAAUCCCCAGGAUAUGAGAUGUCUCUCAGAAUAUGUACUUUAUUUCCAAAAAGGUUGUCAGGCAUUAAUUGUAUCAGAAUAUAAGGUAGGCAACCAUUACUGUUAUUGUGAUAAUAUGGUUACUUGUGAACUGCAAUUCAUCCACAUAGUAGGUGGUGCUUUGCAUUAAUAUAUAUGUUAAAAGUGUUAUAGUCUAGUUAAUUAAGAUAACUAUUGCCAUUCGAAUUAUAUUAAAAAUAAACGAAACCCUAUAAAAAUGAGAAUGGAAACGCAAACGGCGUCAAAGAAACAGCAGCCCCAAAAAAACAGAAAACAGCCAAUGGCUACUAUAAUAGGUCUUCAAAACAGCGAAAAAUCCCGUAUCCGGAGGAAGGCUUCAACUGGCCUUUUGGAAAAAAGAUAUAUUAGUUCAGUGAAAAAGGACGCCACACUAUCUACGAAACAUUAAAAUGAUCUAAAAUACUAAAACUAAAAACAAAAACAAAAACGCAAGACAGACUAGAAGUUCCUGACUUGAGACAUGCGCAAAAUGUGCCGGGGAUAAAAAACUUUGUGUGAUCUCAACUCAUCCUCUAUAUCUCUAGCCAAUUUGGAAUAAACAUCCACACACAUCAAAACGCAGAGUAAAAUUUCAAUUUAAAGGAAGCCCGAUUCCGAUGUUGGAAGAGGUAUGCUCAUGUAUCAUAGAUCUAUCAUAUAUUGACGCUAAUUUUUUUCGUUAUUUUGAUAGUAGAACAAUCUAGAAUUACUUUAAAAGAUAUUUUGUUUUGUACUGCAUGUAUUUCUCUUUUUAAAAAUUUACAUUUAAUUCUGAUCUUUUUUUUAUAGGUAUGACAUAGGAGUGAAAAGAUAUUUGGAAGCUCAACAUUUGAACAUGCUCUUUACAAAACAAUAAAAAUUACCAACGUCACAAUUUAUAUUAAAUUGCUUUUGUCUUUUUUCAAUACUUCAAACAAUUAACAUAGAUAAUUAGAAAUGAAGUUUUUAAUUAGUAUUCCGAUUUCUAUUGUGUGAAUGAAGAAUAUCCUGCAUUUAGUUAACUAAUGUACAAAAAAAUAGUCGUAAAAAAAUAUAUAUUUU
This 7669-nucleotide long non-coding RNA is filed under the name Mytilus galloprovincialis (Mediterranean mussel). Lineage: Eukaryota; Metazoa; Mollusca; Bivalvia; Mytilida; Mytilidae. The record is from RNAcentral.